This 245-nucleotide ribosomal RNA is filed under the name uncultured Sinorhizobium sp. Its description in RNAcentral is "partial 16S ribosomal RNA". It matches the Rfam family "Bacterial small subunit ribosomal RNA", at positions 524 to 766 of the family's 1533-position model. The record is from RNAcentral. Lineage: Bacteria; Pseudomonadati; Pseudomonadota; Alphaproteobacteria; Hyphomicrobiales; Rhizobiaceae.
GACGAGAGGGGCAAGCGUUAUUCGAAAUGAUUGGGCGUAAAGGGCACGUAGGUGGCAGUGAAAAAAGAGACUAAAAACCCCGGGCUCAACCUGGGUCAUGCCCUUUUCUAAAAGAUCUGCUUGAGUCUCCAAGAGGUGAGUGGAAUUCCUGCAGGAGGGGUAAAAUCCAUUGAGAGCAGGAGGAACGCCAAAAGCAAAGGCAGCUCACUGGUGGUAGACUGACGUUGAGGUGCGAAGGCGUGGGG